ACUUAUUCAUGGUUUGUUGGCUUAGGUUUUGAAUUUCAAAAUUGGGCUGAUUCAUUAUUGACUUCAUUAUUUUAUUUAUUUUCUUGGUUUGUCGAUUAAAAAAGAAACGAAGAGAGAGAUAGUUAAAGCGUUUGCAUUUUCUUCUUCCAAAAGGCUUCGAUUUCCGAGUAAGGCGAUUCCGAUAAAAUCUCCGGCAAGUUCAGAGUUGUAAACAGGGGAGGAGGGUAAGAUGACGGCAAGGCGGAAACGGCCAGGAAAAGAACAUGUGGAUGGAAAUGGGGUGUGGAAAAAGAGGUUUAAAGAGUAAACCUUUUUGUUAAUUAUCGUAUUGGUAAAGUUCUCAUCUCCAUUAGGCUUAUGCAUGUGCCAUUCCAUGAAUUCAACUAUAUUAACAUGUACUCACUACAUUGCUGAUCUUUAAUUAAUUUAUACGGUCUUCACUGUGGAGCGUAUUCUAAUCCUUACACCUCCAUAUUAAUUGGUUCAGGGCAAUGGCAGUGCGUCAUCUGCGAGAAAAUGAAGAUGUCAACAAAAUUUUGUAUGUUUGCACGUGUACAAUUGCUUUUGUAUACAAUAUUUUUCAGUGUACAUGUGUACAAAAUUAUACAUUCUUGGUGUAUAUCUUCUCGUUAUUUUUCAGUGUACAUGUGUACAAAACUAUAAAAUAUUUUUCAAUGUACAUAUGUUCC
Molecule: long non-coding RNA, 689 nt
Organism: Raphanus sativus (radish)
Lineage: Eukaryota; Viridiplantae; Streptophyta; Magnoliopsida; Brassicales; Brassicaceae
Exons: 2
Source: RefSeq, a predicted model, not a curated record